Molecule: ribosomal RNA, 468 nt
Filed under: uncultured bacterium
Lineage: Bacteria
Description: partial 16S ribosomal RNA
Rfam family: Bacterial small subunit ribosomal RNA
Source: RNAcentral
GACGAACGCUGGCGGCGUGCUUAACACAUGCAAGUCGAACGGAAAGGCCCUGCUGUUGUGGGGUGCUCGAGUGGCGAACGGGUGAGUAACACGUGAGUAACCUGCCCUCGACUUUGGGAUAACUUCAGGAAACUGGGGCUAAUACCGGAUAGGAGCUCCUUCUGCAUGGUGGGGGUGGGAAAGUUUCGGCGGUUGGGGAUGGACUCGCGGCUUAUCAGCUUGUGGGUGGGGUAGUGGCUUACCAAGGCUUUGACGGGUAGCCGGCCUGAGAGGGUGACCGGCCACAUUGGGCCUGAGAUACGGCCCAGACUCCUACGGGAGGCAGCAGUGGGAAAUAUUGCACAAUGGGCGGAAGCCUGAUGCAGCGCCGCCGCGUGCGGGAUGACGGCCUUCGGGUUGUAAACCGCUUUCGCCUGUGACGAAGCGUGAGUGACGGUAAUGGGUAAAGAAGCACCGGCUAACUACGUG